UACGAAAGGUGCAAGCGUUGUUCGGAAUCACUGGGCGUAAAGCGCACGUAGGCGGGUUCGUGUGUCGAUUGUGAAAGCCCCAGGCUCAACCUGGGAAUGGCAGUCGAAACUGCGAAUCUUGAAUACCUGAGAGGGUGGGGGAAUUCCUGGUGGAGAAGUGAAAUUCGUAGAUAUCAGGAGGAACAUCAGAGGCGAAGGCGCCUACCUGGCAGGCUAUUGACGCUGAGGUGCGAAAGUGCGGGGAGCAAACAGG
RNAcentral lists this ribosomal RNA (253 nucleotides) under uncultured bacterium. Its description in RNAcentral is "partial 16S ribosomal RNA". It matches the Rfam family "Bacterial small subunit ribosomal RNA", at positions 524 to 776 of the family's 1533-position model. The record is from RNAcentral.